CCCUUAGAUGCUCUGGGCCGCACGCGCGCUACACUGAUGCAUUCAACGAGCCUAUCCUUGACCGACAGGUCCGGGUAAUCUUUGAAUCUGCAUCGUGACGGGGAUAGAUUAUUGCAAUUAUUAAUCUUCAACGAGGAAUGCCUAGUAGGCGCAAGUCAUCAGCUUGCGUCGAUUACGUCCCUGCCCUUUGUACACACCGCCCGUCGCUCCUACCGAUUGGGUGUGCUGGUGAAAUGUUCGGAUCGGCCGUUUGUCGCGGUUUCCGCGGCUCGUGGCUGAGAAGUUCAUUAAACCCUCCCACCUAGAGGAAGGAGAAGUCGUAACA
RNAcentral lists this ribosomal RNA (325 nucleotides) under uncultured eukaryote. RNAcentral's name for it is "partial 18S ribosomal RNA". It matches the Rfam family "Eukaryotic small subunit ribosomal RNA", at positions 1470 to 1796 of the family's 1831-position model. The record is from RNAcentral.